Small nuclear RNA from Hippopotamus amphibius kiboko, 157 nucleotides. RefSeq annotates it as U1 spliceosomal RNA. NCBI's taxonomy places the organism in Eukaryota, Metazoa, Chordata, Mammalia, Artiodactyla, Hippopotamidae. The transcript has a single exon. The record is from RefSeq and is a predicted model, not a curated record.
ACACUUACCUGGCAGGGAAGAUGCCAUAAUCACGAAGGUGGUUUUCCCAGGGCGAGGCUUAUGCAUUGCACUCCGAAUGUACUGACCUCUUCGAUUUCCCCAAAUAUGGGGCUGCAUAAUUCGUGGUAGUGGGGGACUGCGUUCUUGAUUUCCCCUG